UAAGUGAAGAGUUUGAUCCUGGCUCAGAGUGAACGCUGGCGGUAGGCCUAACACAUGCAAGUCGAACGGCAGCACAGGAGAGCUUGCUCUCUGGGUGGCGAGUGGCGGACGGGUGAGGAAUACAUCGGAAUCUACUUUUUCGUGGGGGAUAACGUAGGGAAACUUACGCUAAUACCGCAUACGACCUACGGGUGAAAGCAGGGGAUCUUCGGACCUUGCGCGAUUGAAUGAGCCGAUGUCGGAUUAGCUAGUUGGCGGGGUAAAGGCCCACCAAGGCGACGAUCCGUAGCUGGUCUGAGAGGAUGAUCAGCCACACUGGAACUGAGACACGGUCCAGACUCCUACGGGAGGCAGCAGUGGGGAAUAUUGGACAAUGGGCGCAAGCCUGAUCCAGCCAUACCGCGUGGGUGAAGAAGGCCUUCGGGUUGUAAAGCCCUUUUGUUGGGAAAGAAAUCCAGCUGGUUAAUACCCGGUUGGGAUGACGGUACCCAAAGAAUAAGCACCGGCUAACUUCGUGCCAGCAGCCGCGGUAAUACGAAGGGUGCAAGCGUUACUCGGAAUUACUGGGCGUAAAGCGUGCGUAGGUGGUCGUUUAAGUCCGUUGUGAAAGCCCUGGGCUCAACCUGGGAACUGCAGUGGAUACUGGACGACUAGA
RNAcentral lists this ribosomal RNA (655 nucleotides) under Pseudomonas aeruginosa. RNAcentral describes it as "bacterial SSU rRNA". It matches the Rfam family "Bacterial small subunit ribosomal RNA", at positions 1 to 645 of the family's 1533-position model. The record is from RNAcentral. Lineage: Bacteria; Pseudomonadati; Pseudomonadota; Gammaproteobacteria; Pseudomonadales; Pseudomonadaceae.